AAUCCUGUUCGCUACCCACGCUUUCGCACCUCAGUGUCAGUACAGAUCCAGGAGGCCGCCUUCGCCACUAGUAUUCUUCAUAAUAUCUACGCAUUCCACCGCUACACUAUGAAUUCUACCUCCCUCUAUCGUACUCUAGUGAGUUAGUUUUGGAUGCAGUUCCUAGGUUGAGCCCAGGGCUUUCACAUCCAACUUAACAAACCACCUACGCGCGCUUUACGCCCAGUAAUUCCGAUUAACGCUUGCACCUUCCGUAUUACCGCGGCUGCUGGCACGGAAUUAGCCGGUGCUUAUUCUGCAGGUAACAUCAAGGUUAUAAGGUAUUAGCUUAUAACUUUUUCUCCCUGCUUAAAGUGCUUUACAACCCGAAGGCCUUCUUCACACACGCGGUAUGGCUGGAUCAGGCUUGCGCCCAUUGUCCAAUAUUCCCCACUGCUGCCUCCCGUAGGAGUCUGGGCCGUGUCUCAGUCCCAAUGUGGCUGAUCGUCCUCUCAGACCAGCUAAAGAUCGUUGCCUUGGUGAGCCUUUACCUCACCAACAAGCUAAUCUUACGCAGGCUCAUCUAGUAGCGAAAGCUUCAAAGAGAGGCCUUCUUUCUCCCGAAGGAGGUAUACGGUAUUAAUCCGGGUUUCCCCGGGCUAUCCCCUUCUACUAGGUAGAUUCCUACGCGUUACUCACCCGUCCGCCGCUGUACUCGUAUCCGAAGAUACUUUCUCGCACGACUUGCAUGUGUUAAGCCUACCGCCAGCGUUCAAUCUGAGCCAGGAUCAAACUCU
RNAcentral lists this ribosomal RNA (776 nucleotides) under uncultured bacterium. Its description in RNAcentral is "partial 16S ribosomal RNA". The record is from RNAcentral.